This 72-nucleotide transfer RNA is filed under the name Cavia porcellus (domestic guinea pig). It matches the Rfam family "tRNA". Rfam says of the family: Transfer RNA (tRNA) molecules are approximately 80 nucleotides in length. Lineage: Eukaryota; Metazoa; Chordata; Mammalia; Rodentia; Caviidae. The record is from Rfam by way of RNAcentral.
GGGGAUAUAGCUCAGUGGUAGAGUUCUUGCUUUGCAUGCAGAAGGCCCUGAGUUCGAUCCCCAGCACCACCA